This 274-nucleotide ribosomal RNA is filed under the name uncultured bacterium. RNAcentral's name for it is "partial 16S ribosomal RNA". It matches the Rfam family "Bacterial small subunit ribosomal RNA", at positions 523 to 796 of the family's 1533-position model. The record is from RNAcentral.
CUACGGAGGGUGCAAGCGUUAUCCGGAAUCAUUGGGUUUAAAGGGUCCGCAGGCGGAUUAAUAAGUCAGUGGUGAAAUCCUCUCGCUCAACGAGAGAACUGCCACUGAAACUGUUAGUCUUGAAUUCGGUCGAAGUAGGCGGAAUGUGUCAUGUAGCGGUGAAAUGCAUAGAUAUGACACAGAACACCGAUAGCGAAGGCAGCUUACUAGACCUGGAUUGACGCUCAUGGACGAAAGCGUGGGGAGCGAACAGGAUUAGAAACCCCAGUAGUCC